CCACUGGCUGGAGGUGCUGACUACUUUGGCUUUUUCCCUUGGGAGGUCAGACAGAGGUCAUGUGGGAAGCAUGCUUUGUUUACCCAGAGAGGACCUCCUGUUCUGCCCCUUGGCAUGUUUACUUUCCUGGUUGCCUACUUGGAAAGCCCUAUGACUGCUGGCAGGGAGAGCUCUGGUCACUUUCACUACCUUCUCAGAUUUUCAGCUCUUGGGGCUUCAGUAGGACCUGCCUUUCAGUAACUUUCAGAGGCAUGGGGAGCCCUUCCCUGAAAGAGAGGAGAAGGUGACAUCUUAGAAACUGUGAUAAAAUGAUCUCAGGACCCAAAAAGAAAAUGGACAAGCCUGGCAAUGAGAGUUUGCAAUGUGAUGCAAUCACGGGCAAUACCAGGGUGGAAAUUGGAUGGGCAGCUUUCUUCUCUCUAGAAGAUUUUCUUUCCAAGUCCAUUCUUUCUUUUCAUAUUUUCAUCAGCUUUGUUCGUAAUUGUCAAAACUUGGAAGCAACCAUGAUGCCGAUAUCCUUCAGCAAGUGAACAAAUAAAUUAACUGUGGUACGUCCUGACAAUGGAAUAUUAUUCAGCACUAAAAAGAAAUGUGCUAUCAAGCCAUGAAAAGCCAUGGAGGAAACUUAAAUGCAUAUUACUAAGUGAUAGAAGCCAAUCUGAAGAGGUUACAUACUCUGUAUUCCAAGUAUAUGACAUCUGGAAAUGACAAAACUAUGGACACCAUAAAAAGAUCAGUGGUUACCAGGGGUUGGGGAUUGGGGGAUGGAUACCUGGAGCACAGAGGAUUUUUAAGGCAGUGAAACUAGUCUAUAUGACACUAUAAAAAUGGAUACGUGUCAUUAUACAUUUGUCAAAGCUCAUAGGAUGUACAACAGCAAUAGCAAACUCUAAUGUAAACUGUGGACUUUGAGUGAUUAUGAUGUGUCAACAUAGGUUCAUCGGCUGUUAACAAAUGGACCCCUCUGAUGGAGCUAUAAAUAUGUGACAACUUGAAUUCUGCUUAAUGGACUUCCUUUCUUUCUUAUUUCCUUUCUUUCUUUCUUUCUUUUUUUCUUUUUUUUUUUUUUGGUUUGUUUCUUGCAUCUUAUGUUAUCUCUAUGGUAAGUUUAGCUAAAUGAAAAAUUCCCAGGAUUGUAAACUGAUUGAUUAGAAAUUAUUUGAUUUUUCUUUAUUUCAUUUUAUGUUACUUUUUAAGACCCAGUCAAGGAACAUUUCCAUAUGAUGUGCGUGUAUCCAUAGAAUUAUAUCAUGGCUGCAUAUGCAGUUUUAGCCUAUGCUAUAAAAUGCCUGCUUUUUAAAAAAAGACGUUAUUUUCUUAGAACAGUUUUAGGUUCACAGCAAAACUGAAAGGAAGUUACAGAGAUGUCCCAUAUACCCCUUGCCCCCGCCACACAUUUGAAACAUCUUUUCAAAUCUUUUCCUCAUUUAUUAAAUAGCUUGUUUUUCUCAUUAUUGAGUUGUGAUAUAUCUUUAUGUAUUCUGAAUAAAGUCCUUCGUCAGAUCUACAUAUUACGAAUAACUCCUCUCACUUCGUGGCUUGCUUUUUAAUGUUCAUAAUGUUGUCUUACAAAGAGAAAAAGGUUUUCAUUUGAUAAAAUACAAUUUUUUUAUUUUUAAAAUUUAUGAUUUUGUGUUUUCUGUGUUCUGUGUAAAAAUCUUUGCCUAUCCCAGGGAUACAAAGAUUUUUAUUCUUUUUUUAUAAGAAGUUUUAUAGUUAAGUUUUACCUUCAGGUCUGUGAUGUAUUUUAAGUUAAUUUUUUCAUAUGCCAUGAUGUAAGAGAUAAUGAUCCUUUUUAUACAGAUACCUGUGUGCUUUCACUCCAGCAGUAUAUAAUCGAUAAAUAUUUCUACAUAUAAUCUAUCUCUAUAUCUACAUUAAUCUAACAUGAAUUCAUAUUAAUGUCUCCUACUCUAAUCAAUUACCAUAUAGAUCAUUCUAGCUAUUGUCAGGUUUUAGAUUUUAGUAUAUAUAAUAGUACACUAGUUGUUACUGGGUUUUACUUAGUAAUUCCAUUUGUUUAAUAGCUAUAAAACUAUUCAGAAUUUCUCUUUCAUGUUGUAGUUUUGCUAAUUUUUACCUUUAAAGGAAUUUGUCCAUUUUAUUUAAGUUCUCAGGUUUAUUUUACUUCUGUUUUUUUGGUCCUUUCUGUGUUUCGGUAUCUGUCCUGAAGACGCCUGACUUGGUGCCUUUGCCUGACAACUCUUUAGUGUUUAACUAAAGGCAGCGAAACCAUCCCCAGACAUGAAUUGGCAUGAGCAGAAGAAUCACAUUAAAAGAUUGGCUAGAAAACCUAUUGCUGUUUAAAGAAAAGGAUUUAUUAAAAGUAAGAGCAUCAGUGGUGCAUCCUUAUGUCCUCCCUUUCUUAGAAAAUCAGUUUUCAUAAUUUCUCUUUGAAUCUGACAGGCUUUAAUUAUAUAACUGGUAGAGAAAUUUAACUUUGAUUUUCAACAUGCAAGAAAAAGAGCCAGGAAACUAUAUGUAUAUAUUAAUGUAUUAGCUAAUAUUUAGUGCAGAGAAGUACAAAGGAGAAAACAAGAGUUGGAUAAUUUUCCUUGUCAGAUAACUUUUUGGUAUUUUUAUAAAAUUAGCAAUGUAUGAGGCUAAAAAUAUACAAAAAUGUACAAGUCAAAAAAAUAAAAUUCUUUUCCUUUGUGCCCACCCCACCUCCCAGGCUUUCUCCAAAGUGUAACUGAUUGACGGUUUUAUAUAUCUUACAGUGGGGGUUGGAGGUCAUUGCAUGUCCUUGUGUCUU
RNAcentral lists this long non-coding RNA (2755 nucleotides) under Homo sapiens (human). RNAcentral's name for it is "HSALNT0041366". Lineage: Eukaryota; Metazoa; Chordata; Mammalia; Primates; Hominidae. The record is from RNAcentral.